This 296-nucleotide ribosomal RNA is filed under the name uncultured bacterium. Its description in RNAcentral is "partial 16S ribosomal RNA". It matches the Rfam family "Bacterial small subunit ribosomal RNA", at positions 28 to 334 of the family's 1533-position model. The record is from RNAcentral.
GAUGAAUGCUGGCGGCGUGCCUAAUACAUGCAAGUCGAGCGGUAACAGGUCUAGUUUACUAGAUGCUGACGAGCGGCGAACGGCUGAGUAACGCGUGGGAACGUGCCCCAAAGUGAGGGAUAAGCACCAGAAAUGGUGUCUAAUACCGCAUAUGGUCUUCGGAUUAAAGGAUUUAUCCGCUUUGGGAGCGGCCCGCGUUUGAUUAGAUUGUUGGUGAGGUAAUGGCUCACCAAGUCGACGAUCAAUAGCUGGUCUGAGAGGAUGAUCAGCCAGACUGGAACUGAGACACGGUCCAG